Schistosoma curassoni is the source of this 45-nucleotide non-coding RNA. Lineage: Eukaryota; Metazoa; Platyhelminthes; Trematoda; Strigeidida; Schistosomatidae. The record is from Rfam.
AUCCAGCUGACAAGUUCCAAAUAGAACAAAACGCACGUCUUGGAU